RNAcentral lists this ribosomal RNA (497 nucleotides) under uncultured bacterium. RNAcentral describes it as "partial 16S ribosomal RNA". It matches the Rfam family "Bacterial small subunit ribosomal RNA", at positions 28 to 507 of the family's 1533-position model. The record is from RNAcentral.
GAUGAACGCUGGCGGCGUGCCUAAUACAUGCAAGUCGAGCGAACAGACGAGGAGCUUGCUCCUUUGACGUUAGCGGCGGACGGGUGAGUAACACGUGGGUAACCUACCUAUAAGACUGGGAUAACUUCGGGAAACCGGAGCUAAUACCGGAUAAUAUUUCGAACCGCAUGGUUCGAUAGUGAAAGAUGGCUUUGCUAUCACUUAUAGAUGGACCUGCGCCGUAUUAGCUAGUUGGUAAGGUAACGGCUUACCAAGGCAACGAUACGUAGCCGACCUGAGAGGGUGAUCGGCCACACUGGAACUGAGACACGGUCAAGACUCCUACGGGAGGCAGCAGUAGGGAAUCUUCCGCGAUGGGCGAAAGCCUGACGGAGCAACGCCGCGUGAGUGAUGAAGGUCUUCGGAUCGUAAAACUCUGUUAUUAGGGAAGAACAAACGUGUAAGUAACUGUGCACGUCUUGACGGUACCUAAUCAGAAAGCCACGGCUAACUACGUG